RNAcentral lists this ribosomal RNA (158 nucleotides) under Verrucula pusillaria. RNAcentral describes it as "5.8S ribosomal RNA". It matches the Rfam family "5.8S ribosomal RNA". From Rfam's summary of the family: 5.8S ribosomal RNA (5.8S rRNA) is a component of the large subunit of the eukaryotic ribosome. It is transcribed by RNA polymerase I as part of the 45S precursor that also contains 18S and 28S rRNA. Functionally, it is thought that 5.8S rRNA may be involved in ribosome translocation. Lineage: Eukaryota; Fungi; Ascomycota; Eurotiomycetes; Verrucariales; Verrucariaceae. The record is from RNAcentral.
AAACUUUCAACAACGGAUCUCUUGGUUCUGGCAUCGAUGAAGAACGCAGCGAAAUGCGAUAAGUAAUGCGAAUUGCAGAAUUCCGUGAGUCAUCGAAUCUUUGAACGCACAUUGCGCCCCUCGGUACUCCGAGGGGCAUGCCUGUCCGAGCGUCAUUG